Molecule: ribosomal RNA, 488 nt
Filed under: uncultured bacterium
Lineage: Bacteria
Description: partial 16S ribosomal RNA
Rfam family: Bacterial small subunit ribosomal RNA
Source: RNAcentral
GACGAACGCUGGCGGCGUGCUUAACACAUGCAAGUCGAACGCGCCUGUCCUCUGGGUUUCUGGGGGGUGGGUGAGUGGCGAACGGGUGAGUAACACGUGAGUAACCUGCCCCCUUCUUCGGGAUAACGGUCUGAAAGGGCUGCUAAUACCGGGUAUUCACUGGUCUCCGCAUGGGGUCUGGUGGAAAGGUUUUUUUCUGGUGGGGGAUGGGCUCGCGGCCUAUCAGCUUGUUGGUGGGGUGAUGGCCCACCAAGGCUUUGACGGGUAGCCGGCCUGAGAGGGUGACCGGUAACAUUGGGACUGAGAUACGGCCCAGACUCCUACGGGAGGCAGCAGUGGGGAAUAUUGCACGAUGGGCGCAAGCCUGAUGCAGCGACGCCGCGUGAGGGAUGGAGGCCUUCGGGUUGUGAACCUCUUUCGCCCGUGGUCAAGCCGCGACGUGGGUCGUGGUGAGGGUAGUGGGUAAAGAAGCGCCGGCUAACUACGUG